GACUUCGUGGUGUAAUGUUACAAACACGCCUGCGUUGGGUAAGAGAGAGACAUAGUGGAAGCAGGAGUUCCUUGUUCGAAUCAAGGCUGGGUCA
Mycena galericulata is the source of this 94-nucleotide non-coding RNA. Lineage: Eukaryota; Fungi; Basidiomycota; Agaricomycetes; Agaricales; Mycenaceae. The record is from the annotation of a GenBank genome assembly.